AGGCGACAGGAGGCCUAGCCGGCAGCCUACAAAUCAGAACCUAAUAACUUCCAGACUCCAACUAUAAAGGAAGACAAAAAAAGGAGACCCCAAGAUAAGCCAUUACUCUGCCUCUCAUGCUCCUCUCUCUAUGAAACGAAAUACUGAUUUGAGCAUCGGAGGGUUCUUAUCGGAGCAGCCUCCGAUCGAGACUUUUUCUUACAGGUUUUCCUCCAAAGCGUAUCGAUCUCAGCCAUCUUCACCUUCUCCGGCGCCGGUCGAUAUCUCGCACCAAUAAAUUUCAUCAGUAAUCUUCUCAUCAUAUGAUCUCAUUUGACUAACAAUUUCAGUAGCUCUAGACAAAAAAUCUUGCACUGAUUCAUUAUUUUUUACAAACAAUGUUUCAAAAUCACGAUGAAGAAAUUGAAGUUUCACAAUAAUUACCUUAGAGGAACUUUGAAACUCCUACAAUAUUGUCCCAGCUACUUUUGAAGUAAAUACUG
This 482-nucleotide long non-coding RNA is filed under the name Elaeis guineensis (African oil palm). RNAcentral describes it as "long non-coding RNA (EGUI_LNC048210)". Lineage: Eukaryota; Viridiplantae; Streptophyta; Magnoliopsida; Arecales; Arecaceae. The record is from RNAcentral.